CCUACGGGGGGCAGCAGUGGGGGAUAUUGGACAAUGGGGGGAACCCUGAUCCAGCGACGCCGCGUGAGUGAAGAAGUAUCUCGGUAUGUAAAGCUCUAUCAGCAGGGAAGAAGAAAUGACGGUACCUGAGUAAGAAGCCCCGGCUAAAUACGUGCCAGCAGCCGCGGUAAUACGUAGGGGGCAAGCGUGAUCCGGAAUUACUGGGUGUAAAGGGAGCGUAGACGGUGAUGUAAGUCGGGAGUGGAAGGCGGGGGCCCAACCCCCGGACUGCUCUGGAAACUAGGUGACUGGAGUGCCGGAGAGGUGGGCGGAAUUCGUGGUGUAGCGGUGAAAUGCGUAGAUAUUGGGAGGAACGCCAGUGGCGAAGGCGGCUCACUGGACUGUAACUGACGUUGAGGCUCGAAAGCGUGGGGAGCAAACAGGAUUAGAUACCCUGGUAGUC
Molecule: ribosomal RNA, 442 nt
Filed under: uncultured bacterium
Lineage: Bacteria
Description: partial 16S ribosomal RNA
Rfam family: Bacterial small subunit ribosomal RNA
Source: RNAcentral